This 1511-nucleotide ribosomal RNA is filed under the name Listeria monocytogenes. Its description in RNAcentral is "partial 23S ribosomal RNA". It matches the Rfam family "Bacterial large subunit ribosomal RNA", at positions 1 to 1515 of the family's 2925-position model. The record is from RNAcentral. Lineage: Bacteria; Bacillati; Bacillota; Bacilli; Caryophanales; Listeriaceae.
AGAAAGGGCGCACGGUGGAUGCCUUGGCACUAGGAGCCGAAGAAGGACGGGACUAACACCGAUAUGCUUUGGGGAGCUGUACGUAAGCGUUGAUCCAGAGAUUUCCGAAUGGGGGAACCCACUAUCUUUAGUCGGAUAGUAUCCUUACGUGAAUACAUAGCGUAAGGAAGGCAGACCCAGGGAACUGAAACAUCUAAGUACCUGGAGGAAGAGAAAGAAAAAUCGAUUUCCUGAGUAGCGGCGAGCGAAACGGAAAGAGCCCAAACCAAGAAGCUUGCUUCUUGGGGUUGUAGGACACUCUAUACGGAGUUACAAAAGAAAGUUAUAAAUGAAGCGGUCUGGAAAGGCCCGCCAAAGACGGUAACAGCCCGGUAGUUGAAAUGGCUUUCCCUCCAGAGUGGAUCCUGAGUACGGCGGAACACGUGAAAUUCCGUCGGAAUCCGGGAGGACCAUCUCCCAAGGCUAAAUACUCCCUAGUGACCGAUAGUGAACCAGUACCGUGAGGGAAAGGUGAAAAGCACCCCGGAAGGGGAGUGAAACAGUUCCUGAAACCGUGUGCCUACAAGUAGUUAGAGCCCGUUAAUGGGUGAUAGCGUGCCUUUUGUAGAAUGAACCGGCGAGUUACGAUUUGUUGCAAGGUUAAGCGGAAAAAGCGGAGCCGUAGCGAAAGCGAGUCUGAAUAGGGCGAAUAAGUAACAGGUCGUAGACCCGAAACCAGGUGAUCUACCCAUGUCCAGGAUGAAGGUAAGGUAAUACUUACUGGAGGUCCGAACCCACGCACGUUGAAAAGUGCGGGGAUGAGGUGUGGGUAGCGGAGAAAUUCCAAUCGAACUUGGAGAUAGCUGGUUCUCUCCGAAAUAGCUUUAGGGCUAGCCUCGAGGUAAAGAGUCAUGGAGGUAGAGCACUGUUUGGACUAGGGGCCCUUCUCGGGUUACCGAAUUCAGAUAAACUCCGAAUGCCAUGUACUUAUACUCGGGAGUCAGACUGCGAGUGAUAAGAUCCGUAGUCGAAAGGGAAACAGCCCAGACCACCAGUUAAGGUCCCCAAAUAUAUGUUAAGUGGAAAAGGAUGUGGGGUUGCUUAGACAACCAGGAUGUUGGCUUAGAAGCAGCCACCAUUGAAAGAGUGCGUAAUAGCUCACUGGUCGAGUGACCCCGCGCCGAAAAUGUACCGGGGCUAAACAUAUUACCGAAACUGUGGAUGAACCUCUUCGGAGGUUCGUGGUAGGAGAGCGUUCUAAGGGCGGUGAAGUCAGACCGGAAGGACUGGUGGAGCGCUUAGAAGUGAGAAUGCCGGUAUGAGUAGCGAAAGAAGGGUGAGAAUCCCUUCCACCGAAUAUCUAAGGUUUCCUGAGGAAGGCUCGUCCGCUCAGGGUUAGUCGGGACCUAAGCCGAGGCCGAUAGGCGUAGGCGAUGGACAACAGGUAGAGAUUCCUGUACCAGUGCUAAUUGUUUAACCGAUGGGGUGACACAGAAGGAUAGGGAAUCGCACGAAUGGAAAUGUGCGUCCAA